GAGGCACCGCCGAAUGCCAGCUCUCUGGUCCUCGGAACAGCGCUGCUCACUCAGUAGACAAUCUUUCCUCAUUUCGUUAACACACUCACAGCACCAAACAAAAUCAAAACCAAAAACCAAGAAGAAACAGCAACAGUAGCUAAAACAAAUCCAAUUCCCCAUAAAUAUACAUAGUUGAAAUAUAUCUAUAUACACAUAAUACAUAUAUACUCGUAAUUCACCGUGCAAAAAAAUUACCUAAAGAGCUUGAAUGUUUCCGUGUGUGUAAUUGUUCUUAUCAACUAAAUGUUAAAUGUGUUAAAAAUAAAUUAAACUAAAUUCAACUGAAAUUAAAUUAAAUUAAAUGCCAAAGUGCGUGUCAAGUGCAAAUAUCAGUAUAUUCACCUCGCCUCCUUCGUCGUCAUCUUGUUGUUCUUGUGGCUGUCGUCGCAGUAACUUUAACCGAAACACGCAUUGAAAAUAAUCCAUCAGCUACCUAAAAACGUAUACGCUAUAUUGUCAUGUAUCUAUCCAAUAGCAGUAGUGCUACAUGUUCACGCAAAAUAUUUUUAAAUAGUGAGGAAAAUUCGUGAGGUGUUGUGCGUGUGUGUGCAAAGUUAAUAUUUUCCCCUUCAUAUCCAUUGGAAAUUAAGAUUUCAUUUGUGCUCGUGGCAGAGCCGGGGCAAGUGAAAAGCUUUCAGCAAACCAAACCAAAACAAACAACAAAACCAACCAACGAACGAACCUGGUAACAACGAUAAUUACCACAAUUCACCCACAAUAAAAACCGCAAAUUGAAAACGGCCUCUUGUGGCACGGGGCACGUCGAAUGGCACAGUUUAUGAAACAACUGCAGACUUAAUCCAUCGCACGCUCAUUUCCAUAUCAUUUUGCACAUCGACCACAGGCACCGACACCGACUAAGACGCAGACGUGGGCGGAACAAAAUGUUGCGCUUUCUCAAGAAUCGUUAGACAUUUGAGUCUGUCCAGAUUUAGUUAUCGAGCCGCCCAUCUAUCUAUCUAUCUAUCUAUAAAUGUGUGUGUGUGUAUAUGCUUAGCUGUAUCUGUAUCUCCGUG
RNA transcript from Drosophila subobscura, 1058 nucleotides. RefSeq lists it as uncharacterized. The record is from RefSeq and is a predicted model, not a curated record. Lineage: Eukaryota; Metazoa; Arthropoda; Insecta; Diptera; Drosophilidae. The transcript is spliced from 3 exons.